Long non-coding RNA from Ictalurus punctatus (channel catfish), 1013 nucleotides. The record is from Ensembl. NCBI's taxonomy places the organism in Eukaryota, Metazoa, Chordata, Actinopteri, Siluriformes, Ictaluridae.
GGAAUAUCAACAUUUUCCUCAGAUAUGUUAGUAAAUUGCUAAGAAAAUACUUGCAUUGGUUGAUAAGUGGGCUGAGAAACAUCAGCAAUAAUCAUUCAACCAGAUAGUCAACGUUUCCGCUCAGUCUUGUGGUAAUAGUGAUUUCACCAGUUAGAAUAUUCUUGAAUAAACCUUAAAGUUUGGUUAGCGGUUGAUGCUAAGUGUAAAUACAGUGCAAUUUUAGUCAUAUGAAGCCUUUUCUUAUGAAUUUACCGGAAAAUCUGAGGGAAAUGUUGACUAUACAGAUAUUUGUCUCAUUUUUGCUGUCAAUGUGCCUUUACAUUGUCCUUAGCCUCAGUGAUAUUCCACAGGGCUGUGGUGUAUGCAACAUUUCUGCUUUCGUAAGCAAGUAAUUAGUCAUGGCAGAACAUGAGUGUGUGAUUAGCUCGAGAUGUGUUUAUCGGCCGAGUUUGUGUUUACAGGACGGCUACUGUAUGUGGCUGAUUUGACUUUUUUUUCUGCAUUAAUUAUUUCCUUUCCAAGUCUUAUCUCCGUGAUGUUUCCUGUUUUGAUCUGUUACAAAUUUUAAAUAUAAAACUGGAUUAAUAGACGAAAAAAAAUUAUCCACCGUUUUCUUUUCUUUUCUUUUCAGAGAGAUGAAUAAAUAACAAGUUCAGCGCUCAUCAUACGUCCUAAAGGAUUUCCUGAAAUGAUAAAAAAAAAAUUCAAAGCUGCAGCCACUGCACCAGUUCCAUUCUCGUCCAUUACAGUUCAUUGUGAAUGCUUAGGUAUGUUUAUUUUAGCAUCCUGCUGGUUCACUGUGCAACAUCCAAUCAAUAGAAUACCUGCUUUCAAACCAUCAGCAUCCAUCUUAGUACUACUACUACUACUACUACUACUAUUAAUACUACAUACAUUAUUGUCUAUAUAGCACUUAAAACACGGAAUUAACAAAGUGCAUUACAUAAAGAUGCUUUUUAUUUAUUUAAUAAAUUAAAGGUGCAAUAUGUAAUUUUGGUAGUGUUUCUCAAAUU